GCAUCCUGGAGGACAGCUCAGAACCAGGUUUCAGGAAGCAGCAGAGAUGGCUGAUUGGAGAACCUUUGUAGAUGUCAUGAAUGUGGCAACCUGGGAAAUCAAAGCUGACACCCACAAAGGCCCUCAAGAUGUAAAAGACAUUUCUGUUCAUCUGGAUUGAAACUUUGUGAAGCCCAGCCUGCAAGACAUUGUGACUUGGCUGAAGAAGUCAUGGGAUAAAAACAUCGACAGCUGUGUUACCAAAGCACUACAAGCAGGCUACAUGGCCAAGAAAUGUUCAUUUAAGGACAGCAUUGCCGGAC
RNAcentral lists this long non-coding RNA (302 nucleotides) under Fukomys damarensis (Damara mole-rat). RNAcentral describes it as "lncRNA (ENSFDAG00000021885.1)". Lineage: Eukaryota; Metazoa; Chordata; Mammalia; Rodentia; Bathyergidae. The record is from RNAcentral.